Molecule: ribosomal RNA, 776 nt
Filed under: uncultured fungus
Lineage: Eukaryota; Fungi
Description: eukaryotic LSU rRNA
Rfam family: Eukaryotic small subunit ribosomal RNA (bases 1-241)
Source: RNAcentral
UUGCUCUUCAACGAGGAAUCCCUAGUAAGCGCAAGUCAUCAGCUUGCGUUGAUUACGUCCCUGCCCUUUGUACACACCGCCCGUCGCUACUACCGAUUGGAUGGCUCAGUGAGGCUUUCGGACUGGCACCAGGAUAUCGGCAACGGUGACCUAGAGCUGGGAAGUUAUCCAAACUCGGUCAUCUAGAGGAAGUAAAAGUCGUAACAAGGUCUCCGUUGGUGAACCAGCGGAGGGAUCAUUAGCGAGUUCUAAACUCCCAACCCUCGUGGACAUACCUAUGUUGCUUCGGCGGGGCGCCCUGAACGGGGCGCGGCCCUCUCGGGGGCACCCGCCGGUGGCACGCACACAAACUCUGCCUUCUGAAGAAUUCUGAGUAGGCUAUAAAUAAGUCAAAACUUUCAGCAACGGAUCUCUUGGUUCUGGCAUCGAUGAAGAACGCAGCGAAAUGCGAUAAGUAAUGUGAAUUGCAGAAUUCAGUGAAUCAUCGAAUCUUUGAACGCACAUUGCGCCCGCUAGUAUUCUGGCGGGCAUGCCUGUUCGAGCGUCUUUUAAACCCUCGGGUCCGGCAGAUCUAGGUCUGCCGGGGCCGGUGUUGGGACUCCGCGGCUGCCGCGGGUCCUUAAAUACAGUGGCGGACCCUCCUGUGGCCCUGGCGUAGUAAAAUGCCUCGCCUUCGGUUGCAGGACGGAGCUUGCCCAGAGACACAUCUCUUCAAAUCUGGACCUCGAAUCUGGUAGGAAUACCCGCUGAACUUAAGCAUAUCAAUAAGCGGAGGA